This is a long non-coding RNA of Bradysia coprophila, 1152 nucleotides long. RefSeq lists it as uncharacterized. NCBI's taxonomy places the organism in Eukaryota, Metazoa, Arthropoda, Insecta, Diptera, Sciaridae. The record is from RefSeq and is a predicted model, not a curated record.
CUUAUAUAGCAGACAUACUGUUUUUACUUGCAACACUAACGACUCUUCGUAGCCAAUGCAAACAGUAGAUAGCUAAAACUUAGUUCCAAGGCUCAAUUUGAAGAGUAAUUUACUAUUUUAUCACGUUCAAUGCGAAGAAAGAGGAUUAAUUAUUCUUCACAUAGACGUACUGAGUGUCACAUUUACUAAUAAAAAAUACAUUCGUCGCGUCUCUACCCACGCGUGUUUGCUGCUUUAUGGCGGCAGAUGAGCCCUUAGAAUUUCGCCGGCGUAGUCAAAUUUUCUCAAUUUCCAGUCACAACCUUGGACAGCGACGGCCAACGGUUUAAAUAGUAUCGUUGGACUCCUGGUGGACUACUCUCUACUAUCCAUUGUCAAACUUGUUUGGUCGUUGCUGUCCAAGAGAAACCAUAUACUGAUUUUCAAUGUCCAGCGCUUCCACCCACGGACCUUUUGACCUUUUUUGGCUCUACUGCCAAAAACAAAAGACAACCAGAAAAAAGUUGUUCCACAUAAUUGUCAGGGGAGACUAACGAUUCUAUAGAGCCAUCGAUCAUUCGGAUCGGAUGUGGCUUGAAUCUCAGUUGUUCGAUACCUUGGCAAAUUCAUUCUUAACAUGUAAAGUAAUAGAUUAAUGAGACGAAUCGUUUGAUGUGAUGGAAUAGUUAAUGUCUACCUUUCUCAAUAAAGCCAACGAAAGUUUUAAUUUUUGUCAUUGAGGAAAUGAUACUUUUGUUGGUCCGAGCCGAAGGCGAGGAAGCUCACUUUCUUUUCUAUAGCGCAUAAUAUUAUUUGAUCCAAUUACCCCAUUUCAAUUGUAAUAAUUGCGUUCAUGUCUUAUUAAUAAUACGUUCCAAUUAAAUACAAUUGAGAAAAACAAGUACCUAUACCUUUGCCCGACCAAUAUUUCAUAUGUUUGUCGUCAACACCACCACAUUUACGAGUUAGUCGCUUCAUUUAGUAGAACUGUUUCAACCGAUAUACUCAGCAAUGGCAAAAUUAAGGUUCUUAAUCUCAUCAAUUAUUAUGGUCCUCAUAGCCACGAUUCCAUCAUAUUUUGCAUCAAGACCUCGAUACCUACAAUGUCCAGUUGAAAACUGCUUGCCACCAAGUCAAUGUGAAAUUUUCGUACUGCAAGAUAACGAAAUAUGC